Phyllostomus hastatus (greater spear-nosed bat) is the source of this 4727-nucleotide long non-coding RNA. RefSeq lists it as uncharacterized. The record is from RefSeq and is a predicted model, not a curated record. The transcript is spliced from 4 exons. NCBI's taxonomy places the organism in Eukaryota, Metazoa, Chordata, Mammalia, Chiroptera, Phyllostomidae.
UCCACCUUCCCGGAGCUGGAAGUGAACCCUGACUGCCUCUCGACCGACCGUGACCGCCAGCGCAGCACGGGCUCCGCGCAGACACUGCAGGGACAGAGGUGAGCAGGGGGAGCCUGGCUCUGCCUCGAAGGCUCAGAGAUGACAGGACUGGCAGCCGAUAAACAAGGAUGCAUUCAAGGUCGCUGUGGAGGCACCGGACCCAGGCUGGGGCAGGGAGAAGAUGUGAUUAUUCCAGGCGAGGCAGAGGGCAAGAGCCCCGGGCAACUGGCAGCAAGGAAGGCUACUUAGCAGGGUGCAGACCCAGGGCCUGGCAGAGAGACCCAGCUCACGCGGGGCUUGCCAAGGCAGGGAACUUCUGGGACCCACGGUCUCCUGGAGUGGAGGGGCGCGGUCGAGGACAUAUCCUCCCAAGUGGGCCCUUGGCCUUCUCUGAGCCCCUGGCCCAAGGCCUCAGCCCUGAAGGCCUUCCCCUGGCUGCUGUCGAGGGGGUGUAGUGAUGUGACCGGCCCCCUCACUGCUGACCCAGCUGGCAGCGCCCAGAGUGUCCAACCCCAUGGAGCCGAGUCACACAGACCAAGCGUCAGUCAUCAGGGCGGCCUCCAAGCCCGGAAGGAGGCGGCAGGCAGUCUGAUCGUGCCCAGGAGAAACUCUCUGGGCACCAAGACACCAGGAUCGUAGGCCAGGCUCUGCCUCAGCCGGGGGGCUGUGGGCAAGUCCCUGGUCCUGUGUGGGACUCAGUUUCCUCAGCUGUCACAGACAAAGGGCUUCCCAACUUCCCCAGGGCUGCAAUGGGUGCCUGGCUGGCCUCCCGCUUGUGCUGGGCAGGGCCAGGCUUUAAGGCGGGUGCCACCAGGCUGCCAGGCCUGUGGGGCAAGGGGAAGCAGCACGGCAGGAACCAUGCUAGUGCUGGCCAGCAGCUGCCAUGCACCCAGCACUUUCUGUGGGUCCGGCACUGCUGCCUACAGCACCUGACAUGUUUAGUCCUCACAAAAGCCCAGCACUGUUGCUGCCACUGUCCCCACUUCACAGAUAAGGAAACUGAGGUGCAGAGAGGUCAUGUAACUCAGGCAAGGUCUUGGGGUCAGCAGAGUCGAGGUACAAACUCAGGUGAGUGGGCAUCUCAUGCUCUCAACCAGCAGGCUGCACCCCGUGGUCUCAGGGCUAUGGAGUGAUGGGUGGGGGGGAGCGGUGGAAAACAAGGAGGUGUAGAGGGGGGUGUCCCACGAUCCUCUGCUGCUCUGCCGCCACCGUUCAUCUGCAGACCCUUUCAGCAUACCUGCCCCUCAACUGUGUUUUGAAGAGUUUUGUGCAUAAGUGAGACGCAUGUGAUGAUUCACGAUAAAGCCACGACGUUUCGGUGGACAGACCUCAGUGUGACGGUGGCCCCGUAAGAUCAUGGCAGAGCUGAAAACUUCCUGUCACCCAGCGACGCUGCAGCCCUCCAAACAGGCGGCACCCUGCUUUGCUCACACGUGCGUGAUGGUGCAGGUGCAAACAAGCCUACUGCCGGCUGGCCGGCCAGGUGCACGAAAGCAGGGCAGACACAACUGUGUGCAGCACACGCCUGUUGCCAGUGACAACAAACGACUGAGCUACAGGUUUCUGUGUUUCUGCACCAGAGUUUCUACCACAUUCUAGAGUGUGCUCUUUCUAAGCGUGCAAGGACUUCGCUGGGAGCCUGUGCGCUGUGCCACACCAGCAGCGGCCUCACCCAGCUCCUGUCCGCUUCCUCUCAUGGCGUCGUCCUCUCCCGUGCCCGGUUCAGUCGCACCUUGUUCUGGGCACUAAUGCUCUGCACGGGCUGGCAGCCCAGGAGCGGCAGGCUGUACCAGACGGCCCGGGUGUGUGGGAGGCUCCAUCUAGGUCGGAACUGCCCUCUCCGUGAGGGCCGAGGACAGCAGCGGGCAGUCGGCUGUGUCUGUCAUCACUGCAGUCGUGCAUCACUUAAUGACGGGACACACUCUGACAGACGAGUCCUGGCUCUGGGGGACCCCUCUCUGCACCGAGGCUUGUGCAGGCAGUGCUGGGGGAGGCUGCUGGGCGCCAGGUGGGGUGUGCUCGGUUGCUCACCACCCUUCCCUGAGCCUGACUUGACCCUUCGGGCUCCCUCCUCUGGCCUCCUGCCUCCAGCCCACCCCCAUGCCGCUGCCAGACUCCCCUCCCCAGGCAGACUCUCCCAGGCUUCUGCUGCAGCCGCGUGUCCCGGGGCCCCUCUGCGCCCCUCCUGUGGCCCUGGCCAUCCCCAUGCCUGGGCGCCCCUCACCUGGCCACACCAGCCGAGCCAGACCCAGGAGUCCGCCUGGCCCUAACCUGCCCCGUCUUAAGCACACCCUCAGUCCACGCGGCUGCUGCCUGCCCCCGAGCACUCACACCUUCCACACCCAGGACCAACUGCCCCCUUCUCCAGGUCCUCUGGGGCCCUUCCUCCAGCCAGGGCUGCAUCAGGUCCACAGAGGCAAGAGUCUCCACCGGACGCACUGCACGGGCACCCCCGAUGGAUAGCACAGUCCACAGCCGCAGACUCGCUGCCCAGUGAGGGGCUGGGCCUCAGGCUCUUGGAGGCCUUGCAGGCCUUGCCUGUCAUUGACUCCACGUACCCGACGAGAUGGGGAGCGUCUUUAGUGCCUAGAAAACUCUUCCUCCAUCCUGCCGAAGCUCGACUCUCACCCCUGCAGGGGGGGGCUCCUGGCUUUCUGCAGACCCUCGAGGACGCCUGCACGCACCAGGGAGGAACCACAGGAAGUGGGAACCCCAGCCUCUGGCACCACACAGGCCUGGUUCAACUCUUGCCUCUUCUGAUUAUUUGCUGAGUGACUUUGGGCAAGGGACUCCACCCUCUGCACCUGAGCUUUGACACCCAAGGGUGGGUCUUGAAGGUGUUGGUGAGGAGGGAGCUAGGAAUGCUGGGAAGCACCCAGCACAGAGUUGGGUCGGCAGGGCUUCCUCGUGGCACCACUAGGUGCUGAGGGGUACCCUGGUUUCUGCACACUUGCCUGCUCCCUACCCUCCGCUGGUGCCCAGUGCAGGCCGAGUUCCCCGUGGGUCCACAUGAGAGCAGGAACAAAGACUCCAGGAACAAAGAUUCAGAAGCUGCUGGCCUGGAACGGGAGGGCGCACACGGAGCCAGUUUUUCCACCCCUGGAGAUAAGACAGGAGAUCGAAAGUAGGAAGGCCCCUGCGGGACUGCAGUCGCCGUGACCUCACCCAGCCACCCGGGCCUGCGUCCCACCUCUCUGCUCAGGGCCUCAGUAUGGACAGUCCCUUGGCCUGGACGGGUGAUGCCCCCUACUGGCUGACUCUCCUUCACCUCCCUGUCGUCACCCGAUGCCACCGUGUCGGAGAGGCCUUCCCUGACCCUCCGUCCAAUCCGGCACCACGCCCUCACCGCCAUCUCCCGCCCAGCGCUGUGUGCCUCCCCACCUGUCUGGCCCGGAAGGCAGACUCCCGCGAGGCAGGGGUAUCUGUCUGUCCCUUCCGUUCCUCCUCUGACCUUCUCUGCCUGGCGCAGAGCAGACGCUCGGUAAGCCUUUCUCAGGGGGAUGACCUGUGGCCGACGAGUGCGGCCGAGGCUGCACACCGAGCUCUGUGGCAGCCCCUUUUCUGAACGGUUCCUGGGAGCCCCCCGGGCAAAAAGGGGGACUCCACGGGACAGGCAGUGUGACCCAGACGGCGACUGAACCUGAAGACACGCGGUCCGGCUGACAACAACAGUGGGAGGAAGGGUGACGAGGAACACCACGGGAAACAAGUUGCAAACACAAGUCACGGGACGAGCAGGAAGGCGGCGUGACUGUCAACAGCGGUCUCUGGGCCCGGCCCACUGGGAGGGAAAGCACCGCAGCCGGCCACGCAGCCGCCCCAGCCACAUCCCUGCUCGCCCCGCAGCUUGCCCUCUGACAAUCAACACCUGUUUUCCGAUCCACCUUUGAACCCCCUUUCACAACUUUCGCCACGCCUACCUCUGGGACCGUACAUCAUUUAAACCUGUUCUUCACCUCGAUUCACUUCGUAAGGCAAAAGUCAACUCUACCUUCAUCCUAAGCAAUUAGAUCGUGAAACCACAAACGGAAGGGCUCAUAAUAUAUACACACACACACACGUGUCACAAGUGGGCACAGGUAACCAGGUUCCUGGUGAUCGAGGACAAAGAAUUGAACUAAACACACAGAGAGUUUCUAGCAGAGAGAGAUAGAGUUAGAGUUAGAGAUAGAGAGAGAGAGAGAGAGAUGUAUUAAGCAAUAGUGCACUCCACGGGACAUGGAAGUGGGCCAACUCUGAGCAGAGAAUGACCUCCUGGGCUGGAGGGUUCCUGUUCGUAUAGGGUGGAUAUUUCCUGGCUAGUUUUGGUGGGCUUUUACUGCGCAUGUACAAGUAGUUGUAUUACUUUAAAGCUACUGUGCAUGCGGUCUCCCACGAUUUUCCGUGACUGGCCACCGGAGAAGGGGGUUGCACGGUGCUGAUUUAUGACAAUGCUGCUACAAUGAAGCCGGGUCACGCCGCAUCUGUGCAGGUGAAGUCACCAUUCACCAUGACUCAGCGCUUUUCCAGACACCGGGAACCGCUGGUCUUAGAGCAGGGUCUCUGUCCAGUACGGAUGUCCUUUAUCUCAGCCCUGGGGCCCCUCCGGAGUUUCCUCCUUCCCGACCACCUCCUGCCUCAUACGCACAAAGGUAUUUCCUAAGGUUUAUUAAAAUGAAUGUGAAGCUGUUUUUUCAAAUGUCCAUGUA